AGACCAUGAUGAGGGCACUUUCUUAGUAGCUCCUUGAACCUUUCCCAAGUUUCAUAUCGUCCUCUUGUGAGUAU
Molecule: small nucleolar RNA, 74 nt
Filed under: Helianthus annuus (common sunflower)
Lineage: Eukaryota; Viridiplantae; Streptophyta; Magnoliopsida; Asterales; Asteraceae
Description: sRNA HanXRQr2_Chr10g0442211
Rfam family: Plant small nucleolar RNA R71
About the family: R71 is a member of the C/D box family of snoRNAs containing the C (UGAUGA) and D (CUGA) box motifs. Multiple nearly identical copies of this snoRNA have been identified in Arabidopsis, and it is thought to function as a 2'-O-ribose methylation guide for 18S ribosomal RNA.
Source: Rfam by way of RNAcentral